Molecule: unclassified non-coding RNA, 503 nt
Filed under: Hevea brasiliensis (rubber tree)
Lineage: Eukaryota; Viridiplantae; Streptophyta; Magnoliopsida; Malpighiales; Euphorbiaceae
Source: RNAcentral
UUCCUCUGUUAGUAUUGUAUGCUUAAGCCUGUCAGUGGUUUGGUAUUUUUCCUGUAAUUACAGAACGAAUCAAUUCAUAGCAUAAGUAGUGUGUUUGACUUGAUGAACUAUUAAGUUAAGUAAUGGACUUACGUCUUUCUGUGCUUAUCUAGCAGUAACUGAAGUUCAAGCUGUUGAAUUGUGUUCUUUAACGUGUCAUAGGAGGAGAGUUAUUUUUUCUGGUUUUCCUCUGAUUAAUCUUUGCAAGUGGUUAUGGUUAUGUGUGAAAAACCAGAUAUAUGCAUCUAUAUAUACAUUGAGAAAUAUCAAUUAAGGACCAUUUUGUUAUGAACUUUUAUUUUGUUGAAUAUUUGUUCCAUUUGUUAUCAAUUUGUACAUUGAGAAAUAUCAAUUGAGGACCAUUUUGUUAUUGAACUUUUAUUUUGUUGGGUAUUUGUUCCAUUCAUUGUCAAGUUGUGCAUUAUCUACAACUUGAAUAACGUUUGGUAUUUGCUCCAAUUCCU